RNAcentral lists this ribosomal RNA (492 nucleotides) under uncultured bacterium. Its description in RNAcentral is "partial 16S ribosomal RNA". It matches the Rfam family "Bacterial small subunit ribosomal RNA", at positions 28 to 507 of the family's 1533-position model. The record is from RNAcentral.
GAUGAACGCUAGCUACAGGCUUAACACAUGCAAGUCGAGGGGAAACGCCAUCGAAAGCUUGCUUUUGAUGGGCGUCGACCGGCGCACGGGUGAGUAACGCGUAUCCAACCUGCCCAUCACUUGGGAAUAACCUUGCGAAAGUAAGACUAAUACCCAAUGAUAUCCCACGAAGGCAUCGGAAUGGGAUUAAAGAUUUAUCGGUGAUGGAUGGGGAUGCGUCUGAUUAGCUUGUUGGCGGGGUAACGGCCCACCAAGGCAACGAUCAGUAGGGGUUCUGAGAGGAAGGUCCCCCACAUUGGAACUGGGACACGGUCCACACUCCUACGGGAGGCAGCAGUGAGGAAUAUUGGUCAAUGGGCGAGAGCCUGAACCAGCCAAGUAGCGUGCAGGAAGACGGCCCUAUGGGUUGUAAACUGCUUUUAUAAGGGAAUAAAGUGGGUCACGUGUGACUUUUUGCAUGUACCUUAUGAAUAAGGACCGGCUAAUUCCGUG